Long non-coding RNA from Ictalurus punctatus (channel catfish), 5908 nucleotides. Lineage: Eukaryota; Metazoa; Chordata; Actinopteri; Siluriformes; Ictaluridae. The record is from Ensembl.
GUGUGUGAAAGUGAAUGGACUCUCUGUGCUCAUAGUUCUGCUCCAGCACAGCCACACCCUGCUCCUCUUACACACUCUGUGUGUGUGUGUGUGUGUGUGUGUGUAUAGAGUAGAGAGUGAGGUCAGAAGAGGCCUUAUUUGGUAAUCUCUCUCUCUCUCUCUCUCUCUCUCUCUCUCUCUUCUUUUUAAAACUGUGGCACUCGGCCUUCACUCUCUCAGGUUCUCAUCGAGAGACUGAGGGAAACUCACUCACUUCUCCUCUUCUCUGUUUCUUUCUCUUUCUCUCGCCCUUUCCCUCCACCCCUUACUAAACUAAACUCUCUCUCUCUCUCUCUUUACAUCCCUCUUCGCCUCCUCCCUCUCUUCCAGUAUUCUCCCUAUCCUCUCACUGUUUCAGAUUCCUCCCUCUAUUUCUCUUCUGUCCUUUCCUUCUCUUUCUUUCCUCCUCUUUUUUUCUCUCUCUCUAUCCCAUCUUCAUCUCGGUUACUCUUUUUCUCUUUUACUCGCUCUCUCCUUUUAUCCCCCCCCCCCCCAUUUUCUCACUUGUCCUUCUCCCUCUCUUCUCUUUGUUCCUCGCUCUUUUUAAAACUUUUUUAUCAUUACGCUCUCUCGCUCAUUCCCUCUCACUUUCUCCCUAUUUUUCCUCUUCUCCUUUCAUUUUUACUAUCUUCAUCCCUCUACCUUCAUCCCUCCAUCUCAGCAUUAAUUAAAGUGACAGGAGAAUCACGGCCGUUGCACAGAGUGAAAGAAGCACUCUCUUUUCUGCUUAUUAAGAAAGAGAAAGUGCUGUACGCAGCAGUCGGACCAGACAGACCUGCAGACAGAAGAUUAACGUGCAGGUUGGUCUAGGAGGGGAGGAGACAGUGAAAUAAAAGCAAAACCUUUUCUCCUGGUUAUCAGUCAGAGAUGAUGUGGCCUGCUGCUGACGGUGUAAACAGAGACGCCACAUUCCUCACAUUCCACGGCAGCGCGCUCAGCUCCGAGACUCACUCCUUACUUCUUCAUUUCACACUUUAAUCAUCAGAUCCCUGCGUUCUGGAUCAGCAGAAAUCUCAUCUGAAUCCUGGAAUAACAAAGCACCUUCAUACCACGGAGCACAGCGCUCUAACACGCUGCAUCGUAUUAUUUUACAGGAAAGUGAUCAAAGAGGGGCUGGAGUUACUGCUACCAGUCUGAAGCUGAUGAUUUUCCUGUAAGAGCAUGUCCUGCAGUGUUUUAUUCCUCUUACACCACAGCGAUGUGUCGUUCACGGUCUAUGAAAGAUGUUCGUCCCCUCACCGGCGUCCCUGGUUUUUCUCAAGACAAAAAAGAAUAAUAAUCGCAGCUUGUCAUGUUGCCGAGAAACCACGCAGCGUAAACCCCUGAAAAUGUCCUACGACUUGAAGUGACAGCUUCAGCUCGUUCUGUUACAAAGCGCUGACGCUGGAGACUCCUUCCAUAAACAUCUCCGUGCACAAAACUUCGCCGUAUCAGUGAUUCGACUCACUUUUAUUUAUCUCAUUUAUACACCCGUGCUGUCGAGGGUCAAGGGCCGUGCUCAGGGGCGCAGCACCGACAGCUCGGUGGUGCUGGGGUUUGCGCUCGCGACUGUCCGAGCCGACGUCCAACGUCUUAACCGCCGAGCUACCGGCACCCUACACGUGUGUUUAAUCCGUUCACCUGACAGAAACGAUGUCAAAUGUAUUCGAACGAGGACGUUAACCUGUAAACGUGUCAUCUGCAGCUGCACGGCGGUCAGAGUUACGGGAAAUGAAUCAACACCUUCCGACCAAUCAGAAUGCAGGAUUCAGCAGCGUGGCGGUAUGAACCGGUUUACCUCAUCCCCACAGCUCAGAGACCAGAGUUUAAUUAACAGCUUGGACAAAGUAGCGCCAAGUUAUUACCCCAGCUCCUCUCAUGCUGAGUUUACUUCAUUUGGAUUUCUGAAUCCACCCAAAACCCAAAGACGUUCCCCAGAAAGUGGGCGUGGUUCACUUAGGGCAAGUUCCUUUGAAGUGCUGUUCUGAAGGCUGCAGGGACAGGAACGAACCAAAGGGACGUACGACCAGAGUCAGGAUCUGUGUUUGUGACGGAGCCUGGGUUAGAUAUAUUAGCAGUGUGUGUGCGUGUGUGUGUGUGUGUGUGUGUGUGUGUGUGUGUGUGUGUCCUUGCAGCUGAUUAAUGAUGUUGAUAUUUUGUCUGGGUGACAAAAACUCACAUCACAACGUCUCUGAAGUACAGGAUGUUUGUGAGUAGCUGGCGUCAGGCCUCUAACAAAAAUAAAUAUGUACACACACACACACACACACACACACACACACACACACACACAAUCCUGGGCUGUUUUUAAGGAGUUAUUUAGUCAAAUGUAAACUAUGUACCCUUUACCCUCUAUACAGUGGAUCAACCAAGACAUGUUCCGUGACUAAAGACUUUUUGUCUCACAAGGACACGUGUGUGUGUGAUCUUUAAAUAUCAACACCGGGCGGCCAUCUUGAAAGUCGCUCCUCAUGUUGGAGGAUACAUGGACGAUAAAACACUCCCGCUUUCACCCAAAGGCUUCUAGACUUUUCAGGACCCGAGACUAAGCGUUCGGUUCCUUUGACAGUGGUCUGGGGUUCACUUCAUGAAAAAGCUGGUGUGUGGGCUGGGCAUCCGAAAAAAAACCAAAAAACCCACCAUGACUCUUUAAUCUGCGUAAUUAAAACUAGCUCUAACUGCAGGUGUUAUAUGAAUGAUGGCACCUUUUUCAUGAUCGUUUUGGAGCAGCGAUUAUCUUCGGCGUAAUCGAGCCGAAAGUGCGAAUACGCUACACUCGAUAAAUCCGUCAAUAUGAACAAUUCCAGGCGUUUUCACAAACGGCUAUAGCUUAACAAUGUUGUAUGAAGGAGGCUUUCAAACAAAGAACGCGUCUUGGCUGAUCUACUGCGUUCGGGUUUAGGGAGAAAAAUAUGCCCUUUUCGGGGGUUUUUGCUGACUCAGUCUUGCAUCAUCGUUAUCAUCUCUCUUACACACACACACACACACACACACACACACACACACGCACGCACACACGCACACAAAUCAAUUCCUGGUUUUCAUGCCAUUUUGUGGAUGAAUCUGAGCUCAAGAAUGUUCCGUUUAUCAUCACAUAGUUGUUCUAAGCGAGGGGACAACACGUGUACAGAGCACAGAAACACAUCUCUAUCAGUAAAUAACGGUUCCUUGAGGGCUCUCCGGACGUUUAACGGCUAUAGCUUUCCAAAGGGAAACACUCUGUUUAUGAACUCUGUCACGUUCCCCUCGAGAUACAAGACGAAGAACGCUUACUGUGCUAGAUUACUGUCUAGAUUACUAGAUUACUUAACGUCUGACAAAGUCUAAUUCACACUCACUCAUGUGUGUGAAAGACGUGUGAAACCUCUCCUUACAGAAAUGAAGCAGAACAUUUUCUUAAAUAGCAGCUGUCUAACCCGUGUAUUAUUAGUUUUACGUCAUGUGUGGAGUGUCGGGUGCACGAGUUCCCGUGGACGAGCUGUUACUAUAGAAACGAUAACGUAUUAGAGCGCGUUAUUAUUAUAUACCUGCGCUACUGUCAGAGCUCCUGGUCUGGGAAAUUAAUCAACACCUUCUGACCAAUCAGGAUCCAGAAUUGUGCAGCGCAGCGAAAGGAUGAUAGCGAGGGUUAAAAUGCGUGUUUUAUAUGUAGUGCGGCACGAAGGGCGUCAAAGGAACCGUUUUAACGCAGUAUUUAGGGAGCGGGGAGCUGUAUUUUGGAUUUAGCCAGGGGUGGAGGAAGUACUCAAACUUGGUACUUAAAUAAAAGUACAAAUAACCAGAGAAAAACGCACUCCAGUUAAAGUAGAAGUACCACAUUAACCACCUUAGUUAAGUAAAAGUAAGGAAGUACUUGCUUUUAAAUAUACUUAAAGUAUUAAAUGUAAAUGUACUUGUCUAGUAGGUUGCCCAUUACAACUAUCUAUAUUUGAAUUAAAGCAUAGGUAUGGGCUGUGUCAUUUUAAUAAGGAAUGCUAAAGAUGAUGCUACUGGUAAUACUUGCAAACAAUAAUCUCUUUUUAAUAAUUGGAAACGUUGUCGAACUUAUGUUUACCCUCUGCGGACUUACAACUCAGUAGAUGAUGAGUUAUCCCCUGGGUUUGACCUGCGGAGUUAAAUGCCAUUAACCAUUUUCAAAUAUUCCCUUUCAUGUAGUGUGUUAUAUACGGAGCAGUUUGUGAAUGUAAAAACAUCUGUAAAGUUUAAAAAAUCAAAGCGCAGGACAAACGGAGUUAUCGACUCCCAAAAGAAGGAAUCGAUUCUGAAUGGCUGAAUCGACUCAUUAGAGAUUCCAGACUUUACUUCCUGUACUAACCUACGUAGGUCCGUAACAAAAAGCCCCGCCUCUGGUCUUCAUCGGCUUGCACGCUGACAGCAGUAGACCAAUCACGACAGACUGGGACGUCUGACCAAUCAGAGCAGAGUAUGCUCUCUGAAAGGAGGAGUUUAGAGCGAAUCCUUUAGAACGAAUCAUUUAACGAGUCGUUUGUGACACUGCGGGGAAAGGUAUCGCUGCAGUUUAAAUUAUGAGCACGUUAAAGUGUUUUUUGACCUCGGAUGCACGUAAAUCUACCGUAUGAGAGCUUUAAAACAUAAUUAGACACGUUUCAAAUCCAUAAUAGGUGCACUUUAAGACAAAGGUAGAUCUUAAAAUGAGAAAAUGAGAAUGAAUGAAUUUGAAAUGAGAAUUUAACCACAGCUAGUAACUAUUUGUAGUUUUUAAACCUUUCCUCUCUGUAACAUCUAUAAGGACAGUCUUGCCAUGUUAACUUUUACAUGAAAAACCAUUCUAGCUCAAUAUGCUUCUUCAAAUUUGAGUGCGGAUUCUUGAAAGCCAGCAACUCAUGCUUUCGAGGGAGACAAAGAACGCACCUGUUAUCUCAAAUAACUCCUUUAAACAGGGCCAUGGGUGGCAUGUAUCAGAUGGCUGAGAGAUGGAAUCCGUGUUUUCCCGAGUGCCAGGCUACUACUGCUGCUCUCAUGAAGAAGGGAUCCUACCUGAUUGGUUUAAACUUUACUGGACCGGCAACGCUCUCCCUGUUCUUAAAUGUAAACAUAUUGGCCAAAAAAAACACACCAUAAAAAGCGAUCAUAAUAUGUAACAGAAUGCACUGUAGAAAUGUAGUGGAGUAGAAAGUAUAGAGAUAUCCACUGUUAAUUCUACUGAAGUAAAGUACAGAUACCUGAACAAUGGACUUAAAUACAUUCCACCACUGGAUUCAGCCCUAGUCCACACCUAACCUUACAGAACAUAAACAAAAAAGGAAUGAAAGGGAGGGGACGCAUUGAGAAAAUGGAGCUUAUACGUACAUACGAACAAACAAACAAAUAAACAGAUAAAUAAAUAAAGUGUUGAUAAUGUAGUGUGUGUGUAUGUGAGAGAGAGAGAGAGAGAGAGAGAGAGAGAGAUGAGAAAAGUUGGUGGCAUGGCUGUGUAUGAGUGUGCAUGAGUAAUUCCUGGCAUUCCUCACAUGGGCGGCACUACAACAGGGACAACAAAGAGUGAUGAUGCAGCGUCAUCCUGCACAGCAGCCUGAAUACUUAUAUGGGCAUAAAGAUCCUUAGUGCACAUACCUUACUCAUUAAACAUUAGCUUAGGACUGCCUCAGUCCCCCCACAUCUCUCUCUCUCUCUCUCUCUCUCACACACACACACUCCUCUCUCUGUCUGUCUCUCUCUCUAGGGUUCAAGAUCAUGGGCCUCCUCCCAGACUGCACAGACAGGAUAUUAUUUGAAUAUUAGAGUUGCUAGAUCUCAUCUAAAUUUGCAUACGUGUGCAUAAUUCAAUGAUUAAUUAAUUAAUCAAUUAAUUAAAAGAGUAAGUGGGGUAAAUUUCAUUAUUACUAGACUUUUAAAAAAAACAAACAACAAAAAAUUAUAUAUAUAUAUA